This 910-nucleotide long non-coding RNA is filed under the name Phoenix dactylifera (date palm). RNAcentral's name for it is "long non-coding RNA (PDAC_LNC008115)". Lineage: Eukaryota; Viridiplantae; Streptophyta; Magnoliopsida; Arecales; Arecaceae. The record is from RNAcentral.
UAAAUAUCUAUGAGACUUGCAUUUUAGGAUAGCCAAAUCUUUGUCAAAAGUCUUCGUCUAGUAUUCAAUGCUUUCAAGUCAUAACAAUCUGCAGAAUCCUAAGUUUAAUUUAGAGUACCAUUUUCAGCAUUGACAGAAAUGACAAAAUGAUAUGAAAUCAAGCAUGAAUUCACAUACACAAUCGAUUUGACCCUCAGUUAUUUUCAGUAAAAAUUCCAAAACUGGCUUCAUUUUGGAUUGAUUUUGGUCAAGACUGAAAUCUCAGUUUUGGUUUUAGAGUUACAGGUGAAAAUUUUAACCAUGCUCUUCAAAGUAAAUUAGAAGAUUACUUGUCGCUUAUGUGAUAAAUUACCACAAAAUCUAGUCACAUACAUAAAUUAUCCAUUAUUAUGGUAAUCAAUUGAUGUAGUGAGUAUUAAAUCCUAGAAGGGGUUGGUAAUGGGCCUUGGAUAGAAAACCAUCAAGCUGGGCCAUGUUCAUACCAGGCUUUGAGCUGGCAGAAGCUUAGAAUAUAAAAAUGUGGCAUAAAUAUACAAGAAAGCCUUUUGGCAUAAAAAUGUGGAGCUAAAGCCAGCUUAUAGGUAAUUAAACAAUAGAAUCAUUAAAGGUUUUCCAAACAUGAAAAUUUAGUCCUUUGCAAACAAUAGCUAAUAAUCUGCUAAACAGCUUCAAGUUCAUACUAACCAAGGAGCACUAAGAAUGAAACAUAACAUUCAAACGGCACCAUGAAUGUUCGAUCCACAGCAAACCAGAUACAGCAUGUGUAUUCACCAAAUAACUCUACUUACUAUGCCCCAUCAUUCUCCUAAAAAUCGAAGCCUUUCGUCCCACCCAUCAUUUAGUUGAAACAGUAAUACUAUUUAUUUAAGCUUUAACUAUUCAAUUUCCUCAUACACGUAUGGUUCCGAUA